RNAcentral lists this ribosomal RNA (1381 nucleotides) under Vibrio parahaemolyticus. Its description in RNAcentral is "bacterial SSU rRNA". It matches the Rfam family "Bacterial small subunit ribosomal RNA", at positions 63 to 1423 of the family's 1533-position model. The record is from RNAcentral. Lineage: Bacteria; Pseudomonadati; Pseudomonadota; Gammaproteobacteria; Vibrionales; Vibrionaceae.
CGAGCGGAAACGAGUUAUCUGAACCUUCGGGGAACGAUAACGGCGUCGAGCGGCGGACGGGUGAGUAAUGCCUAGGAAAUUGCCCUGAUGUGGGGGAUAACCAUUGGAAACGAUGGCUAAUACCGCAUGAUGCCUACGGGCCAAAGAGGGGGACCUUCGGGCCUCUCGCGUCAGGAUAUGCCUAGGUGGGAUUAGCUAGUUGGUGAGGUAAGGGCUCACCAAGGCGACGAUCCCUAGCUGGUCUGAGAGGAUGAUCAGCCACACUGGAACUGAGACACGGUCCAGACUCCUACGGGAGGCAGCAGUGGGGAAUAUUGCACAAUGGGCGCAAGCCUGAUGCAGCCAUGCCGCGUGUGUGAAGAAGGCCUUCGGGUUGUAAAGCACUUUCAGUCGUGAGGAAGGUAGUGUAGUUAAUAGCUGCAUUAUUUGACGUUAGCGACAGAAGAAGCACCGGCUAACUCCGUGCCAGCAGCCGCGGUAAUACGGAGGGUGCGAGCGUUAAUCGGAAUUACUGGGCGUAAAGCGCAUGCAGGUGGUUUGUUAAGUCAGAUGUGAAAGCCCGGGGCUCAACCUCGGAAUUGCAUUUGAAACUGGCAGACUAGAGUACUGUAGAGGGGGGUAGAAUUUCAGGUGUAGCGGUGAAAUGCGUAGAGAUCUGAAGGAAUACCGGUGGCGAAGGCGGCCCCCUGGACAGAUACUGACACUCAGAUGCGAAAGCGUGGGGAGCAAACAGGAUUAGAUACCCUGGUAGUCCACGCCGUAAACGAUGUCUACUUGGAGGUUGUGGCCUUGAGCCGUGGCUUUCGGAGCUAACGCGUUAAGUAGACCGCCUGGGGAGUACGGUCGCAAGAUUAAAACUCAAAUGAAUUGACGGGGGCCCGCACAAGCGGUGGAGCAUGUGGUUUAAUUCGAUGCAACGCGAAGAACCUUACCUACUCUUGACAUCCAGAGAACUUUCCAGAGAUGGAUUGGUGCCUUCGGGAACUCUGAGACAGGUGCUGCAUGGCUGUCGUCAGCUCGUGUUGUGAAAUGUUGGGUUAAGUCCCGCAACGAGCGCAACCCUUAUCCUUGUUUGCCAGCGAGUAAUGUCGGGAACUCCAGGGAGACUGCCGGUGAUAAACCGGAGGAAGGUGGGGACGACGUCAAGUCAUCAUGGCCCUUACGAGUAGGGCUACACACGUGCUACAAUGGCGCAUACAGAGGGCAGCCAACUUGCGAAAGUGAGCGAAUCCCAAAAAGUGCGUCGUAGUCCGGAUUGGAGUCUGCAACUCGACUCCAUGAAGUCGGAAUCGCUAGUAAUCGUGGAUCAGAAUGCCACGGUGAAUACGUUCCCGGGCCUUGUACACACCGCCCGUCACACCAUGGGAGUGGGCUGCAAAAG